AAGACUCAAAAACUUAGUCUCAGUUCGGAUUGUUAGGCUGAAACUCGCCUACAUGAAGCUGGAGUUGCUAGUAAUCGCGAAUCAGCAUGUCGCGGUGAAUACGUUCCCGGGCCUUGUACACACCGCCCGUCACACCAUGAGAGUUGGCAAUACCCAACGUACGUGAUCUAACCCGCAAGGGAGGAAGCGUCCUAAGGUAGGGUCAGCGAUUGGGGUGAAGUCGUAACAAGGUAGC
RNAcentral lists this ribosomal RNA (235 nucleotides) under uncultured bacterium. RNAcentral's name for it is "partial 16S ribosomal RNA". It matches the Rfam family "Bacterial small subunit ribosomal RNA", at positions 1269 to 1500 of the family's 1533-position model. The record is from RNAcentral.